Molecule: long non-coding RNA, 1819 nt
Organism: Oncorhynchus keta (chum salmon)
Lineage: Eukaryota; Metazoa; Chordata; Actinopteri; Salmoniformes; Salmonidae
Exons: 3
Source: RefSeq, a predicted model, not a curated record
ACCAUAUGAAAUUUGACCUUGCUCAAAAAUGCAAAAUUGACUGGUCUGAUGAACACAGGAUGGCCGAGCAGUGAUAGUUGUACAUUUCCAUCACUCGUUGUGUUGAUUUCAUCAUCUCCGUUAGGUGAUGUUUUUACACUAUAGAAUCAUAUUGCAAAUGCACGUGCAUUGUUGUGCAACUGGUAACCCAAAAAUAAAAAAUAUGGUUGUAAAUGCAUUUACCGGUCAUUCUGAUAUUAAUGCUCGCUAUGGGAACACAGGAUGGCCGGGCAGUGAUAGUUGUACAUUUCCAUCACUCGUUGUGUUGAUUUCAUCAUGUCCAUUAGGUGAUGUUUUUACACUAUAGAAUCAUAUUGCAAGUGCGCGCGCAUUUGCAAUAUGUUUCAAUGUGCAUUUACCAUAUGAAAUUUGACAUGCUCAAAAAUGCAAAAUUGACUGGUCUGAUGGACACAGGAUGGCCGAGCAGUGAUAGUUGUACAUUUCCAUCACUCGUUGUGUUGAUUUCAUCAUGUCCAUUAGGUGAUGUUUUUACACUAUAGAAUCAUAUUGCAAGUGCGCGCGCAUUUGCAAUAUGUUUCAAUGUGCAUUUACCAUAUGAAAUUUGACAUGCUCAAAAAUGCAAAAUUGACUGGUCUGAUGGACACAGGAUGGCCGAGCAGUGAUAGUUGUACAUUUCCAUCACUCGUUGUGUUGAUUUCAUCAUGUCCAUUAGGUGAUGUUUUUUCACUAUAGAAUCAUAUUGCAAGUGCGCGCGCAUUUGCAAUAUGUUUCAAUGUGCAUUUACCAUAUGAAAUUUGACAUGCUCAAAAAUGCAAAAUUGACUGGUCUGAUGAACACAGGAUGGCUGAGCAGUGAUAGUUGUACAUUUCCAUCACCUGUUGUGUUGAUUUCAUCAUGUCCAUUUGUUUAUGUUUUCUCACUUUUGCAAAGUCACUGUGCAUUUGCAAUAUGGUUCAAUGGGCAGGUACCAUCACGAAUUUGUCAUGCUAUAAAAAUCCUGCAGGAAUGUGAAAUUGACUGGUCUGAUGAACACAGGAUGGCCGAGCAGUGAUAGUUGUACAUUUCCAUCACUUGUUGUGUUGAUUUCAUCAUGUCCAUUAGGUGAUGUUUUUUCACUAUAGAAUCAUAUUGCAAAUGCACGUGCAUUGUUGUGCAACUGGUAACCCAAAAAUUAAAAUAUGGUUGUAAAUGCAUUUACCGGUCAUUCUGAUAUUAAUGCUCGCUAUGGGAACACAGGAUGGCCGGGCAGUGAUAGUUGUACAUUUCCAUCACUCGUUGUGUUGAUUUCAUCAUGUCCAUUAGGUGAUGUUUUUACACUAUAGAAUCAUAUUGCAAGUGCGCGCGCAUUUGCAAUAUGUUUCAAUGUGCAUUUACCAUAUGAAAUUUGACAUGCUCAAAAAUGCAAAAUUGACUGGUCUGAUGGACACAGGAUGGCCGAGCAGUGAUAGUUGUACAUUUCCAUCACUCGUUGUGUUGAUUUCAUCAUGUCCAUUAGGUGAUGUUUUUACACUAUAGAAUCAUAUUGCAAGUGCGCGCGCAUUUGCAAUAUGUUUCAAUGUGCAUUUACCAUAUGAAAUUUGACAUGCUCAAAAAUGCAAAAUUGACUGGUCUGAUGGACACAGGAUGGCCGAGCAGUGAUAGUUGUACAUUUCCAUCACUCGUUGUGUUGAUUUCAUCAUGUCCAUUAGGUGAUGUUUUUACACUAUAGAAUCAUAUUGCAAGUGCGCGCGCAUUUGCAAUAUGUUUCAAUGUGCAUUUACCAUAUGAAAUUUGACAUGCUCAAAAAUGCAAAAUUGACUGGUCUGAUGGACACAGGAUG